Molecule: transfer RNA, 67 nt
Filed under: Eophileurus chinensis
Lineage: Eukaryota; Metazoa; Arthropoda; Insecta; Coleoptera; Scarabaeidae
Description: tRNA-Ser
Source: RNAcentral
GAAAUAAGACAAACAAGAAUAAGCUUCUAACUUAAUUCUUUAGCAGUGCAACUCUGUUAGUAUUUCU